GGUCCUGUGGAGCAGCUUGGAGUGCUCGCCACCCUGUCAAGGUGGAGGCCGCGGGUUCA
This 59-nucleotide transfer RNA is filed under the name Streptomyces sp. MnatMP-M17. RNAcentral's name for it is "tRNA_Asp_GTC". Lineage: Bacteria; Bacillati; Actinomycetota; Actinomycetes; Kitasatosporales; Streptomycetaceae. The record is from RNAcentral.